UAAAUAAAGAAGUAUGCAUCGAGAUGGGAAAAAAAUAGAAAGGAAAAAUCGAAAAUUGGAGCGAGCGAGUAAAAUCAGAGAUCGGCGUGAGACAAAAGAAAAAACCCCUUUCCGGAUAGGAGAAGGCCACGAACAAAACCCUAAAUCUUCGUGAUCUCUGUUCGUUCGAUUCUCUCCCGUUCUCGUUUUUUUCCAAAAUCCUGUGCCUCGUGGAGAACUCGUUUCGUUUCGGGAUUUAAAUUUAGAGCGCUACGGUUUGUGUUCUGGUUAUGGG
Molecule: unclassified non-coding RNA, 274 nt
Filed under: Hevea brasiliensis (rubber tree)
Lineage: Eukaryota; Viridiplantae; Streptophyta; Magnoliopsida; Malpighiales; Euphorbiaceae
Source: RNAcentral